RNAcentral lists this transfer RNA (77 nucleotides) under Candidatus Limicola stercorigallinarum. RNAcentral describes it as "tRNA-Arg". It matches the Rfam family "tRNA". Rfam says of the family: Transfer RNA (tRNA) molecules are approximately 80 nucleotides in length. Their secondary structure includes four short double-helical elements and three loops (D, anti-codon, and T loops). Lineage: Bacteria; Bacillati; Actinomycetota; Coriobacteriia; Coriobacteriales; Coriobacteriaceae. The record is from RNAcentral.
GCGCCAUUAGCUCAGCUGGAUAGAGCAGGAGACUUCUAAUCUCAAGGCCGACGGUUCGAAUCCGCCAUGGCGCACCA